This 254-nucleotide ribosomal RNA is filed under the name uncultured bacterium. RNAcentral describes it as "partial 16S ribosomal RNA". It matches the Rfam family "Bacterial small subunit ribosomal RNA", at positions 524 to 776 of the family's 1533-position model. The record is from RNAcentral.
UACGGGGGGAGCAAGCGUUGUUCGGAUUUACUGGGCGUAAAGGGCGCGUAGGCGGCCAGCACAAGUCAGUUGUGAAAUCUCCGAGCUUAACUCGGAACGGUCAACUGAUACUGUGCGGCUAGAGUGCGGAAGGGGCAACUGGAAUUCUUGGUGUAGCGGUGAAAUGCGUAGAUAUCAAGAGGAACACCUGCGGCGAAGGCGGGUUGCUGGGCCGACACUGACGCUGAGGCGCGAAAGCUAGGGGAACGAACGGG